UAGCGAAACAGCCCUUGGGCUGUCCGUCAGGAGUAACCGCCCUGGCGCUGAUGAGCGAGGUUGAG
Molecule: non-coding RNA, 65 nt
Filed under: Deltaproteobacteria bacterium
Lineage: Bacteria; Pseudomonadati; Myxococcota; Myxococcia
Source: RNAcentral